RNAcentral lists this long non-coding RNA (1656 nucleotides) under Coturnix japonica (Japanese quail). RNAcentral's name for it is "lncRNA (ENSCJPG00005006489.1)". Lineage: Eukaryota; Metazoa; Chordata; Aves; Galliformes; Phasianidae. The record is from RNAcentral.
GGGGGGCAAUUAGUGGGGGGGCAUUAAUGGGGGGGCAUGAACAGGGGGGGGGGGCACCAUAAUUUGCAGAGGAGGGGGCAAUAAGUGGGGGGCACCAAAUGGUCGAGAAAUGGGGUUUUUUAAUGGGAUUUUAUCUGGUUGUUUUUUGUAUAGGAACGUGAGAAGUUCGGGGGAACCUGAAAUGGUUCCACCACAUGGAACAGGUGAAGGCUCCCCGUUCCCCCCCCCCGGUGCUUCGGGAGCUGCCGCUGCUCAGACGGAACAUGGAGGAGCUGCACCAGCUGCUGGGGGGGGCACAGCAACAGGCGUUAAGGCUGGAGGCCGAAUUGGAGGCGGGGCUACAGCGCCGGGGGGCGGGGCUUAACCGAGCGCAUCGGCUGCUCCUAUUGGCUGAGGCAGCUGACAGUCAAAGGAAGCAGCUGAAGGCGGCACUUCCUGUCCCGCCCCCACUUCCAGGGCCGCUGGAGGCGGAGCCAGAGCUGGAGGCGGCCGUCGCCAUGGGAACAGAACCGGAAGUGCUGGCAGCGACUCGUGCCCUCUGCCGGAUGCGGGAGGAAGCCAUGAUGGAAAUGACGAAGCCACGCCCACUUCCGGAGAAGCAGCGUCUGCUGGCGGCAUCCAACCAGCAAUGGCUGCAGGCGGCUCAGGAGCUCCUUGGCCGCCAUUCCCCGCGCUCUGUGCUGUGGGCUCUGAGUCACAUGACCAAGGAAUCCAUCCGGGAGCUGCAGGCCCCGCCCAGGAGUGAGGACAUUGAACCCAAUGGGGAGCAGGGAGCUCCGCCCACCAUAGAGACCCUCAAUUUAGGAUUGUUGGAACACAGUGGGGGGGCUUUGGGCCCUGGCCCCCCCCAUAGCGGCUCGGCUGCCCCACAUGAGACAACGACUGCGGGACAUACAGGAACAGAUGGGGGAGGAGACAAGGUCUGACCCAUAAGUGACACCCCAGCCCCAUAAGUGACCCCAUAGACCCAUAACUGCCCCCCCAGCCCCAUAACUAGCCCCCAGCCCCAUAAGUGCCCCCCCCCAGCCCCAUAAGUGACCCCAAAGACCCACAAGUGACACCCCAUACCCAUAAAGUGCCUUUCCAGCCCCAUAAGUGACCCCACCAGCCCCAUAUGUGUCCUUCCAGCCCCAUAAGUGACCCCUUCAGCCCCAUAAGUUACCCCCCAGCCCCAUAGGUGCCCUUCCAGCCCCAUAAGUGCCCCCCCCCAGCCCCAUAAGUGCCCUUCCAGCCCCAUAAGUGACCCACCAGCCCCAUAAGUGACACCUUCAGACCCAUAAGUGACACCUUCAGCCCCAUAAGUGCCCUUCAAGCCCCAUAAGUGCCUUUCCAGCCCCAUAAGUGACACCUUCAGCCCCAUAAGUGACACCUUCAGCUCCAUAAGUGACCUACAAGCCCCAUAAGUGCCUUCCCCAGCCCCAUAAGUGACCUCCCCAGCCCCAUAAGUGCCCUUCCAGCCCCAGAAGUGCCCUUCCAGCCCCAUAAGUGACCCCCCCAGCCCCAUAAGUGCCUUUCCAGCCCCAUAAGUGACCCCUUCAGCCCCAUAAGUGCCCCCCCAGGCCCCAUAAGUGACCUUCUAGCCCCAUAAGUGCCCCCUUCAGCCCCAUAAGUGACCCCCCCUGCCCCAUAAGUGCCCUUCCAGCCCCAUAAGUGCCC